CCUACGGGUGGCUGCAGUGGGGAAUAUUGCACAAUGGGCGCAAGCCUGAUGCAGCCAUGCCGCGUGUGUGAAGAAGGCCUUCGGGUUGUAAAGCACUUUCAGCGGGGAGGAAGGCGUUAAGGUUAAUAACCUUGUCGAUUGACGUUACCCGCAGAAGAAGCACCGGCUAACUCCGUGCCAGCAGCCGCGGUAAUACGGAGGGUGCAAGCGUUAAUCGGAAUUACUGGGCGUAAAGCGCACGCAGGCGGUCUGUCAAGUCGGAUGUGAAAUCCCCAGGCUCAACCUGGGAGCUGCAUUCGAAACUGGCAGGCUAGAGUCUUGUAGAGGGGGGUAGAAUUCCAGGUGUAGCGGUGAAAUGCGUAGAGAUCUGGAGGAAUACCGGUGGCGAAGGCGGCCCCCUGGACAAAGACUGACGCUCAGGUGCGAAAGCGUGGGGAGCAAACAGGAUUAGAUACCCCGGUAGUC
This 465-nucleotide ribosomal RNA is filed under the name uncultured Klebsiella sp. Its description in RNAcentral is "bacterial SSU rRNA". It matches the Rfam family "Bacterial small subunit ribosomal RNA", at positions 338 to 795 of the family's 1533-position model. Lineage: Bacteria; Pseudomonadati; Pseudomonadota; Gammaproteobacteria; Enterobacterales; Enterobacteriaceae. The record is from RNAcentral.